Molecule: ribosomal RNA, 157 nt
Filed under: uncultured Glomeraceae
Lineage: Eukaryota; Fungi; Glomeromycota; Glomeromycetes; Glomerales; Glomeraceae
Description: 5.8S ribosomal RNA
Rfam family: 5.8S ribosomal RNA
About the family: 5.8S ribosomal RNA (5.8S rRNA) is a component of the large subunit of the eukaryotic ribosome.
Source: RNAcentral
UCACUUUCAACAACGGAUCUCUUGGCUCUCGCAUCGAUGAARAACGUCASCUAAGUGCGAUAAGUAGKGKGAAUUGCARAAUUUCGKGAAUCAUCGAAUCUUUGAACGCAAAUUGCACUCUCCGGUUUUCCGGGARAGUAUGCCUGUUUGAGGGUCA